RNAcentral lists this long non-coding RNA (236 nucleotides) under Pan troglodytes (chimpanzee). RNAcentral's name for it is "long non-coding RNA NONPTRT001268". The record is from RNAcentral. Lineage: Eukaryota; Metazoa; Chordata; Mammalia; Primates; Hominidae.
GCAUUGUGGAAGUCAACAAGUAAGUUUUGUUAAAUUUGAGUAAGAAGACCUGUUUGUUUCCUCAAGUUGCUUAUAAUCUAGGUGAGGACACAUCUGAGAGAAUAACUAAUAGUUCAGUGAAGCUCCCAAGGAGGCAGCAGAAACUGGGGUAAUCACAACGGUCAACAGCAGCAAAGGCAGCACUUUCUGAUUUACUUGACUGCUAUGGAUGCCACCUAUCUCCACGCCUCAGUUUA